This 310-nucleotide ribosomal RNA is filed under the name uncultured Gammaproteobacteria bacterium. RNAcentral's name for it is "bacterial SSU rRNA". It matches the Rfam family "Bacterial small subunit ribosomal RNA", at positions 97 to 411 of the family's 1533-position model. The record is from RNAcentral. Lineage: Bacteria; Pseudomonadati; Pseudomonadota; Gammaproteobacteria.
GGCGGACGGGUGAGUAAUACGUUAGGAAUCUACCCUAGAGUGGGGGAUAACCCGGGGAAACUCGGGCUAAUACCGCAUAGUCUCUACGGAGUAAAGGUGGCUAGCAAUAGCUAUCGCUAUGGGAUGAGCCUACGCCGGAUUAGCUAGUUGGUAGGGUAAAAGCCUACCAAGGCGACGAUCCGUAGCUGGUCUGAGAGGACGACCAGCCACACUGGGACUGAGAUACGGCCCAGACUCCUACGGGAGGCAGCAGUGGGGAAUAUUGGACAAUGGGCGAAAGCCAGAUCCAGCAAUGCCGCGUGUAUGAUGA